This is a non-coding RNA of Pelodiscus sinensis (Chinese soft-shelled turtle), 380 nucleotides long. The record is from RefSeq and is a predicted model, not a curated record. NCBI's taxonomy places the organism in Eukaryota, Metazoa, Chordata, Testudines, Trionychidae.
UUGUAUGGCAAGGUAACAAAUGACAUACAGGGGAACUCUUCCUUUGUGGAACCUCAGGUAAGACCCAUUACAUGCUUAAGUUAUGAGCAUAUUUACCCUGAUAUCAGUGCAAAAAGGAUAACUGGUUACACUGCUCUCUUGUUCUUCAGUAAAACUGAUGGCAUCUUAAUGGGAGACAUGUAGCCAUAUGCAGGGAAGGAGGAGGUCAGCCCAACACAAAUUGCCAUAGCAAUGCUGGAGGCAGCAUUCAUUUUGAUGCAAGCUGACUAAGUGGAUUUUGCACAUGAAAGGGCCAAUUUACAGCCUCCAAGGACAGCACCAAUUUCUACCUGCGCUUGGACAGCCUGAGCGCGGAGGACAGCGCUAUGUGUUACUGCACC